RNAcentral lists this long non-coding RNA (4497 nucleotides) under Olea europaea (common olive). RNAcentral's name for it is "long non-coding RNA (OEUR_LNC003452)". Lineage: Eukaryota; Viridiplantae; Streptophyta; Magnoliopsida; Lamiales; Oleaceae. The record is from RNAcentral.
UCUAAUCUUCGAUUAAUUAAUAAUUAGUAGAGAUUACUCAUAACAUUGUAUGCAGGCUUCCUCUAAAAAGUAACACCAUCUUCUUUCCACUAUCUACAUGUGCAACUGCAUAUAUAUGUAUAUAUCCCACCAAGCAAUGCCCUUCUCAUCAAAACUCUCUUCCUCUCUCUGAAAUCACUCUUGCAUACACACACGAACAGAUAUGGGGUAUCAGUCUUAUUCUUCUACGAUAAGCUGUGAAAUCCGAAUCAUUAGAGCCAAAAAUAUAGAUAUCAAAACCCAGGGAGAAGUAUUUGUUAGAUGUUAUCUGUCUGCAGGAAACAACAAAAGAGUCCAAAUAAACACCCAACAUAUCCCAACAAAAUCUGAUUUGCUUUGGAAUGAAACUUUCUCUUUAGACUGCUCGGGAAGUGAUGAGGACUCCAUUUCCUUGCUCAAACAAGGAAGUGUCAUCUUCGAGCUCAGGUGGAGAAGCACUGCGCCAUUCAUUGGCAGAAUCAACGGCUCAAAACUCUUGGGAAGAGCUGAGAUUCCGUGGAAAAAUAUCUUUUUAUCACCAAAUAUGGAAAUUGAGAAUUGGGUUGUAAUGAUCCCAAAUGAUAAUAAAUGGGUAGACGAAGAUGCCAAACCAGCUGCAGUGCAAAUAGGAAUGAAAAUUCAAGAAUCUGCAGUGGCGUCUAUAAAAAGAAGGAAAAAUGAUAGAAAGUGGGAUGAGUGUGGCUGCUGCAUGGAUGGUAUGUGUAGUUCAUGUGUAGAUUAUGACAUUUUUGCUAUUGGAGCUGCUUUUGAAACAUUGUAACUUUAACUAACUAGGUUUGUUCUUGCAUUAAAAUUUUGGAUUAAUGUAUUCAAAAUCUGUAUUUAUUUUUUUGUGGCAAUUCAACUAGUUAAAUUGCAAAAUUUUCAGUUAGUCUUUGCCUUUCCUCAAGCAUUUUCAUCGUUUCCAAGCAUCAAUUAAAAUGGAAUAUAUAACAGAUAUCCACUAUAAGUCAUUCUAUCUGAGGAACCAGUAAAAAUCAUUACAUGCUGGGAUUAAUUUCUUAGUCGGUAAUGAAGAAGAUACUGAAGCCAAAUAUGGAGGAUUUCUAGUUAAGGUUUCCAAUACGCUCGUGGUUCUAGAUUUGAGAGGAUUCGAUGGCAAACAUCGAUGUUACAUAGAAGAAUUAUUGGCAAGAGAGAUGAUUGUAGCUGAAUGGCCUAUUGAAGGAUAGAAUGGCGGGAUAUGCGAAUGUGAUAAAUGUGAAAAUGUUUGAAAGAAGAUGUAUUAUUUAGAUAUCUAGAAAAUAAAUGUUAUGUUAUUUGUUGUAGCUCACAGCAGCAGUCGUUCUACGUGGCACACAUGUGACAAUUAGUAAUUUGAUACAUUAAUGUGAUAGUUUUUUUUUUAUUAUCUUAUGCAACAAAUCACUAACCGUCGCAUGUAUGCUACUUAGGACAAUUGUGAUAGUGAGUGAUUAUAAAUAGCAUUAUUCUUUCUUUAUCCGAGCCCAACUAUAGUUGAGCUUAAUUAACCUAAUUAUCGGCGUGACGAAAAUGGCCGGGCAAAGGUUUGGCCUUGAACGAGUCAUUUCAAGAUUAAUCUAAAAUUUGAGCAGGUCAUCAACAUCUCUAACCUUUGUGCACUUGUGAUGUAACAUUGUAACUGAGUGCAAGAACAUUAGCUUUUAAUGAUUUUUUUGGAUUAUUAUAAAAGAUUUGUAUAUGUAUCAAGUUGAUAAGUUGAAAUUCGUUUUUUACGUAUCAAGUUGACAACUAAGAUUUCAUUUGUAAUGGAAGAUCAUUUAUGUUUUUUAAUUACCUGAUGCGUAUUAGUGUUUCGAUUACUAAUCUAUAUCUCAAGGUGAUUUUUGGCCCUUUUUCAAUUCAGUUGUUCCUAUCGAUUAACUAAGAUAAGUACUUGAGCAGCACUUUAUUGCCCAUGUGUGAAUAUGCUUUUCCUAAAGAAAUCAACUAGUUGUGUGUCAUGGCCAAUUGCUCAGUGCUAGACGACUAGAAACCCAAUUUUUUAUAAUGUGAUAUUUGUCGACUGUCGUAAUGUUAUAUUCCGAUGUUUAUCUAAUAAAUUUAUCAUUAUUUUGAAUGUUAUGUAGUAAAAUGUAUCAUGGACGUUUUAGACGAUCGAUGUCUCUAUUAAAGUUAAUUAUUAUAUGCAUAUAGUUUAAUUGAACUUGACAUAAAUUAUGUGAUAUAUACAUUUUUUUUUUAUUGUAUGCUUAUCAUUAAUAACUUGCCAUUUAUACGUAAACUCAAUCUACCAAUGUUUUGAAACGAUUCAUUUCUAUUCUGAGUAAAUUCUAUAUAAAUUAAUUAGAUUGACAAAUAGAACUAAUAUUUAGGAUUAAAUUGUUUAGUAUAUGUAAUUUUUGUGUUCUAAUUAACUCAUCCCAUCCCUAUAUAGGUGCUUAUUAGGGUUUAUUCUUAUAAUUCACUUUUUUUUUUUUUGCCCGAAUUUGAGAAUUUUUUAAAAUAAGAAUUAGGAUGACGUUUGAGAGUCAUACAAAAGUACCAAACCUUUGGAAUUUCAAGUUGCACUACCAAACCAGUGCAUUUUGUUAGUUCUAUUUUUUUUAAAUAAUUUAUGUCUCAAUUAAUUUUCAUAAUUGGUGAGAGAUAAGAUGAUAUACUUUACAACACAUGCUAGAAGGGCAACUUUCUCGAAUUAUUAUUUUGUGACACACACUAAACUAGCAAGCCUAUGACCAAGAAUAAGCUCAUGUUUGGGAGUUGUUUACAAUCGAUUAAAAUUAUAAUCAGAUAGAAAUACGUCGUGAAUAAGUUGGUAGUCCUUGUGGGACUAUGAAAAGUUUAUAAACAGAACCCAAACAUGGGCCAAGUCAAUCACACUUAACUAAAUUACAGUCAACUGAUAAAAUCAAGAAUGCACUUCAUGCCAAAAAUACUUCAAAUGACAACUAAAUUACAUUCCAUAAGUACAAAAGUAGUAAUGGAUAAAGUGAUCGAGAAAAGCACAUAAGGGUCCUCAUAGUGAUAUUGACUCCUUUUGCUAGAAGUUCAUCAACUUGUAAAUCAUGCACAAACAAAUAAAAGAUAUAGACUCUGUUAACUAACUUGCCCAAAUGGUAAGAUUGUUAGAAAGGGAAGAAAUAUAUUUUUAUCUUCAAAAUAUCACUUCUUGUGUAGGUUAAAAUUACCUCCUUUAAUCAUCUCAAAAUAUGAGGUGGAAUUUAUAAAUCGAGUCGCCGUAAGAAUUUAUCUUAUAGUAUCAUCUCGAGCUUGGAUAGUCUAGAUUGUUUUUACAUCCCUAACUUCGAAUCAUACCAGUACUAUAUCAAAUAGUCUCGCAUAAAUAACACAUUAGAAGCUUGAACCUUCAUUCUUUCUCCUUGCAAUCUUUGCAAGUAACAAUAAAUACCUUUUAAUCUACACCGAUCAAUGAAUUUGAUUGAUCAAUUAUGUAUUGUGGGGACUGUUAAUAUUGAAUUAACUGAUUGAUCAAUUAAAUAAGUCAUAUUUAAUUCAACUAAAAAAGUUGAUAUAAAUUUAAGUUAAAGCGAAUAAUUAUUUUUAACCAUAUAUUUCUUGAAAUUCGUAAUUCUUCAACUGCACAUUUUAUCAAUUUAUUUAUUAAAAAUCUGAUUUUUAUCAAAAAGAGCAUAGACUGCAUCAAGUCAUAAAAUAAAAUUGGGCUUUAAAAAGUGACCCCCAAUUUAAAGCCCACGUUCACUGAGUUGACAGAUAACCCAAGUCCAAUUAAAGCCCUCCUCCUCAACGUACCGAUGAAAACCGAAUUCACCGAGCCAUCGCCGAGAGCUUCAUUCCGCUUUAGUGGUGCACGUCAACAAUCGAUGAUUGAUACGUCACAUUAGCGAUAUCAUUAUGUGCAAUAAUUAUGUAAAAAUAGAAUUUUUAUUAUCAAAAUUCUUACCAAACAAGCACUUAAUCAAUAUUCUAAGAAUGGGAAGCAGACUAGGAAGAAGAGUAGUUAAUUUUGCUAAUCUUCCCAUAAAACUCCUCGUGCCUUCUUCUUUAUCCAAUAUUUCCGAAAUUGCUAUCAAAACCAUUCCCUCCGCUUCAAAGGUUCAAUAUGGGUAUUUGAGUUUAUAUAUGUAACGUAUAAUCGUUAAUUAUCUUUUGAUAUUUAAUUAUUUAAAUCUUGCAGAUUGAGAUUAAGCGGGUUUUAGAAUCACUUUACGGAUUCGAGGUGGAGAAAGUCCGGACUCUAAACAUGGAGGGCAAGAUGAAGAAGCGAGGAGACUAAUGUGACCCUCAAAAACCCAUUGUCCGUAAACCCGGACCUUUACCCAAUAUGGAUAAUUAAAGCGGGCAAAAGGAGUUUGAAUAAGCAGUCUAAAUCGAGCAUUGUGGAGGACCCGGAAGCUAUAAAGAAGUCGCAUUGGCUUGAUGAAAAGAAAGAUGGCAGGAGAUUUAAUAGGCCGGAAGGGCGUACCUUUGGUUGCCGUGGUGGCAGUGAUGGUGAUGGAGCAGUGGCCACGAGCUCGGGGGCAAAAUUUCCAUGGAGCAGUAUGAGGUCUUUUG